RNAcentral lists this ribosomal RNA (489 nucleotides) under Streptococcus mutans. RNAcentral describes it as "bacterial SSU rRNA". It matches the Rfam family "Bacterial small subunit ribosomal RNA", at positions 28 to 493 of the family's 1533-position model. Lineage: Bacteria; Bacillati; Bacillota; Bacilli; Lactobacillales; Streptococcaceae. The record is from RNAcentral.
GACGAACGCUGGCGGCGUGCCUAAUACAUGCAAGUGGGACGCAAGGGAACACACUGUGCUUGCACACCGUGUUUUCUUGAGUCGCGAACGGGUGAGUAACGCGUAGGUAACCUGCCUAUUAGCGGGGGAUAACUAUUGGAAACGAUAGCUAAUACCGCAUAAUAUUAAUUAUUGCAUGAUAAUUGAUUGAAAGAUGCAAGCGCAUCACUAGUAGAUGGACCUGCGUUGUAUUAGCUAGUUGGUAAGGUAAGAGCUUACCAAGGCGACGAUACAUAGCCGACCUGAGAGGGUGAUCGGCCACACUGGGACUGAGACACGGCCCAGACUCCUACGGGAGGCAGCAGUAGGGAAUCUUCGGCAAUGGACGAAAGUCUGACCGAGCAACGCCGCGUGAGUGAAGAAGGUUCUCGGAUCGUAAAGCUCUGUUGUAAGUCAAGAACGUGUGUGAGAGUGGAAAGUUCACACAGUGACGGAGCUACCAGAAAGGAC